Molecule: ribosomal RNA, 268 nt
Filed under: uncultured prokaryote
Description: partial 16S ribosomal RNA
Rfam family: Bacterial small subunit ribosomal RNA
Source: RNAcentral
UACGUAGGUGGCAAGCGUUAUCCGGAAUUAUUGGGCGUAAAGAGCGCGCAGGUGGUUGAUUAAGUCUGAUGUGAAAGCCCACGGCUUAACCGUGGAGGGUCAUUGGAAACUGAGGGACUUGAGUACAGAAGAGGAGAGUGGAAUUCCACGUGUAGCGGUGAAAUGCGUAGAGAUGUGGAGGAACACCAGUGGCGAAGGCGACUCUCUGGUCUGUAACUGACGCUGAGGUGCGAAAGCGUGGGUAGCAAACAGGAUUAGAUACCCCGUA